Non-coding RNA from Nicotiana tabacum (common tobacco), 4376 nucleotides. The record is from RefSeq and is a predicted model, not a curated record. NCBI's taxonomy places the organism in Eukaryota, Viridiplantae, Streptophyta, Magnoliopsida, Solanales, Solanaceae.
AAUAAUAUAAAUGGAGAAUACAUAGUUUUCUCUCUCACCAUGGGUCCAAUGAAAACAAUCUUUCUGCCUUUUUAAAGGUAGGGGUAAGCUCUGCGUACACACUACCUCCUCAGGCCGCACUUGUAGGAAUACACAAGGUUUUUUGUUGUUGUUGUUGUUGGUUUUGAAACUAGCAUGUGAAUGAUGCCUAUAACAUUAUACAACAUAAAUAAGAUGCUCAAAUAGUCAUAGAACAAAUAAAACAUGCAACAAGGCAUGUAACAAACAAGGCAUAAAAAGGCUAAACAAACUACCCCAAGCAUGGAUAAAUCUUGGCAUCCGUAUAUACGCUCGUCACCUCGCAUAUACGUUACCCCAAACAAAUAGCACAUAGCAAUAAUAUCAUUUUUAGGAAAAAUUCUCUAUAUCGAAGUCAACCAAGGUACUUACCUCUAUCCCAGACUAGCUCUAUUCCUCAAAAUCCGUUUUUCCUUCUCCAACUCCAUCAAACGAGCCCGAUCUAACCCAAAGAAUGCUCCACAAUGUCGUUGGACUCAAUUCCAUAAGCAAAAGAUAGGCUUAGGUCAAAGUCAACAAAAGUCAAACCCAGGCCACAUGAUCAGAUCCCGAAACCAGAGUAAGGAACUAGAGUCAAAUUCUGUUUACCCAUAACCUCGUGAGUCCAUAUAUGUUAUUAGAUUCUCAAUCCUAGUCCAAAUCAUAUCAAAUCCUCAAAAGUACUUUUUGAUGAAGUAUAAAUCCUCAAAAGUACUUUCUUAACAUUCAAGUAAGAAAUCCUCAUUUCCUGCUUGAAUCCAUAUUUAAAUGACAGAUCUUAGGUUAAAUUCAUAAAAUAAAUUCAAAUAAGUUAGAAUCAGUUACCCCAAGCUCCAAAAUGGUGAAAAAUAACAUAAAAAAUCACCAAAACUCCGUAUUUGUACAAUCUGAAACUUUUGCAGUGCUGGCCGCACUCUAGUCUGUAGAAGGUUGUGCUUUAGACUACACUUCAGUUAAAUGAGGGGGUUAUGCAAAUGUCAAAAUGUCGAACAGUUUGAACCACUGAGAACUAGACUUAAAGGGUUACAACUUUCAUUUUUGGAUUAUCCCCAAAUUCAUUAUAGAUUAGGAUAUAUACGUUCCCGAAGUUAGACCAAAAACUUGCGGCCCUCCUGUGUUGCGGAUUACUGUGCGGUCUGCACUUCCCCAGUGCUGGCCGCACUAUGGUCCACACUAGGACCUGCAAUAGCUACAAAAAUAUGUUCCAAAUGCGCCAAACACCUCCGAGCCCCUCGGGUCCUAAUCCAAUCAUUUCAACAAGUCCAUUGACACUAUACAGACCUAUCCAUGGUCUCGAAACACGAAACGAAGCGCAUUAACUCAAAUCGAGGACCAAAAUGAACUUAAUGGACUUCUAAGUCUCAAGUUAGCAUGCAAGUGUACCAAACCACUCCCGAGCCCUUCAGGACCCAAACCACCAAUAUCCGCAAGUCAUAAAACACCAAAUGAACCUAUAGGAACUCUCAAAUCAAGGAGCGAGGUGCUAGAACUCAAACCAGCCGGUUUGAUUGUUACACUAUUAUCAAUCUAGCAAUGAUAAGUUUAUCUCACCUCUAUUAGUCACUUAGACUAUAGAGGCGAUUGCCUAUGUCAUGUGUGUUCGACAUACCUUUUACACUUCGAAUUUAUGUUUUAGACAUAAAAAUGAUAAUUUUUACAUGAAUAUGCAAGAAUGGAGAAUUAAGCGUCAACUUACAUUAACUUCAAUAAUGUAGGUUUACAUGAACAUGAUUGGAAAAAGUUAAAAUAUGAAAGGAUUAGUAUCUUCUCGAACCCAACGACUUGCCAUGUCUUUAUAAGCAUCACAUGCUAUGGGUUUCAGUUCUCAUUGCAGUUCUCUACCAUAUGAUGCACAGAGAUGUAUUUCAUGUUCACUUGUAUAUGUACAAUAUUUCUUUAACAAAAUUGUACUUAGUGUUAGUAUGUUUCAUCUUCUCAUGGUACUUGGGAUCCAUUGUGUAGGCUAUUGCAGCUUGGCUAUAACGUUUGUGGUUUUUUAACAUUUGAUGGUUACUGAUUCAAUAGUACUAUCAAACUCAUCUAAAUAUACCAGAUAAAAGUUUAAGCCAAACAGCUACUUGUAUAGUUGCUAAAAGUGGUACAAAUUCAGCUUCCAUUGUGGAUUAGGCUAUGCAUGAUUGCUUCUUGCUACUCCACGAUGUGGCACCAUUUUUUAUCAAGAAUACAUAUCUAGAGAUUGAUUUUCUUUCAUCUAAAUCUCCUGUCCAAUCAGUAAAGGUGUAACCUUUGAGUUGUAGAUCUUUUUCUUGGUAACACAAGGAAUAGUCGGUGUGCCUUUGGAUACCUCGGUAUCCUUUUAGCUUCUUUCUAGUAUUGUUUUCCUGAGUCAUAUUGAUAUCUGCUAGCCUAAUAACAUAACAUAUAUUCGGAAUAGCACACAGCAUGAUAUGCAUUAGAUUAUCGGUUGCACUAGUCUAAAGAACUCCUUUUUAUUUGGUCCUCCUAUUGUGAAGUAUGUGGACAUAUCCUAUGGGCUGAAGCUUUGGCUCUAGAAAUAGAAGCGUUUAUGAGUUUGCAAUCUUGCGAAUCACCAUAUAAAAUCAUUCAAUAAUCUUCUUAAUUAUGCGUCAAGGUUAUCGGCAAAACCACCAUAUGUACGAGAUUCAUGAAUCAUGCAAAAUUCUUGUCAUUUCUGUCUAUUUCUAACUUCAUUCAAAGAAGACAGAUUCUGAAGCAUGGCUUUUGAAGAAUGAAAUCGCAUACCGAGGGGGAACGUUUUUCUCCUUUAUCUUUAGGGAUUAGAUAGAAAUAAACCCUAUGUUCUGAUGCCAAUGAAGGAGAAAACAGGAACACACAAUAUAUGGAUUCUAAUCUGCAUUCGUUCUUGGUUCUUUUGAGUGGGUGUAUUCGUACUUCUUUCACUAGCCAAUGUUACAAUCACAUGUAUUUGAAUAUGAACUGUAUAGAAAAGGUUCAUAAUCUGUCACACAUGCGUUACAGAUAGAUAAAAAUAUUUGAAAUCUGCUUACAAAGAACAAAGACCGGAAAAUUUUCAAUUUCUUUUGCUGGAAGAAAGAGAAGCAAAAAUAGCUAAUAAUAAAUACCCGGUGAAAUAAUAGAGGCGCACAGAAGUUAGUUGGGACACCAUCGUUAAAAAUAUCGCUAAAACGAAAGGAAAAAAGCAAUAUCCUUUAUAAACAAGAUAACUUGUUGUCUACUUGAACUGUCACUAAUUGGCAACCAAUUGUGUCUCUUCUCCUUUUCUUUCAUUUUAAUUUAAUUUUACUUUUCGAGUUCACCCACAUGGGUGACCUGGAUUUAUUUCCUUCAGAACUUGUAUGGUGGCAUGAACUUCACUUGAACAAAAAAAGUUCGUGAAAGUUGAAGAUUUAUGAGUGGAAACAAGUAUUUCACUUGAAAUACAUCUUUAUAUUUCAUAUUUUGCUUAAGGUUCAAAUAAUGUUUUACUUGAAACCCAGUGUUCAUGGCUAAACUAGAAUACUGAAAUAGUGUUCAUCACCAAAAGGGCUCUAGGUGAUCCUAGUGAGAAGUCGUUAACUUCUUUGAAUCUGAGUCGAAAAGAUUAGAGAAAAGAGAAAAGAGAAAAGGAAUGAAUAAAAUAAGGCCUUUUUUUUUACUUGAUAGUAGGACCUCCUAUACUUGCAGCUUCAAUGUUCUUUUUGUUUAGUUUGUAAUGUAUCUUCCAUUUGUCUUUUUCAUUUCCAAAAUACUAGAUGUCUUAAUAUCAUGCAUGUGGCUAUUGUCUUUGUAUAUGUUCUGAUAUAGUUUAUGAUUCCUGGGUAUUUUAUAUGUACAGGCAAAGCAGACCCCAUUUAGGAGUUAUUUACAUGACAUGAUAUCUCUGAUAAAGAAGGAGAAGGCAGAACGUGAAGCUUUGGGAGCGAUGCCUCUUUAUCAACGCACUAUUCCCUGAUCUGCCACCAUCCCUGUGCUUGCCAUUUGAUUUAUGCUGGUAAUAAUUGGAGCCUUCUUUGGAGAAAAGGUCAUAUGGAUGUUAUUUUGUUGUAUUGCGUGGAGGAACAUAUUGCUUACGCGUGGCUUGUAAGGAGCCAGGCCAUAUUUGCUCACUAAUAAAUUUUCUUCUGAACUGCAAAGUUUUGAGUGAAACUUUUCGAAUUCUUUUGGAUUUGGCUGCGUUUAAAAAGCAGUUGCAUGGUGGAGAUAUUUAUUCACCAUGGCAUGUCAUAUUUCUUUUUAUAUAUCAGGUUUAUGAGUUUUUCAGAUGGCUUAUGAAUCAAGUUCUUGGGUGUCUUAAGUCUGCCCAGCAGCAAUGUUUUGUGUAAAUUUUGUUUAAACACCAGUAUCUGAUUAGGAAAAUUGUCAAAUUUAUAUUGAUGUCCAUGGUUAUUGGUAUUUGA